RNAcentral lists this ribosomal RNA (252 nucleotides) under uncultured bacterium. Its description in RNAcentral is "partial 16S ribosomal RNA". It matches the Rfam family "Bacterial small subunit ribosomal RNA", at positions 524 to 776 of the family's 1533-position model. The record is from RNAcentral.
UACGGAGGAUUCAAGCGUUAUCCGGAUUUAUUGGGUUUAAAGGGUGCGUAGGCGUCGGAUAAGUUAGAGGUGAAAUCCCGGGGCUCAACUUCGGAAUUGCCUCUGAUACUGUUCGGCUAGAGAGUAGUUGCGGUAGGCGGAAUGUAUGGUGUAGCGGUGAAAUGCUUAGAGAUCAUACAGAACACCGAUUGCGAAGGCAGCUUACCAAGCUACUUCUGACGUUGAGGCACGAAAGCGUGGGGAGCAAACAGG